GCCGAAGUAGCUCAGCUGGGAGAACAUUAGAGUGAAAAUCUAAAGGUCCCUGGUUCGAGCCCAGGUUUCAGCA
Octodon degus (degu) is the source of this 73-nucleotide non-coding RNA. The record is from the annotation of a RefSeq genome assembly. Lineage: Eukaryota; Metazoa; Chordata; Mammalia; Rodentia; Octodontidae.